RNAcentral lists this non-coding RNA (312 nucleotides) under Otolemur garnettii (small-eared galago). The record is from Rfam by way of RNAcentral. Lineage: Eukaryota; Metazoa; Chordata; Mammalia; Primates; Galagidae.
GCCAGGCGUUGUGGUGAGCACCUGUAGUCCCAGCUACUUGGGAGGUGGAGCCAGGAGACUUGCUUGAGCCCAGGAAUUGGAGGUUGCUGUGAGCUGUGAUGCCACGGUACUCUGCCCAGGGGGACAGCUUGAGGCUCUGUCUCAAAAAAGAAAAGAAAAGAAAAGAAAUCAGUUGUCAAAAAUUUAUUUAUUUAUUUAUUUAUUUUUUUUUUUUGAGACAGAGCCUCAAGCUGUCCCUCUGGGUAGAGUGCUGUAGCAUCAUAGCUCACAGCAACCUCCAACUCCUGGGCUCAAGUGAGUCUCCUGCCUCCA